Molecule: ribosomal RNA, 443 nt
Filed under: uncultured bacterium
Lineage: Bacteria
Description: SSU rRNA
Rfam family: Bacterial small subunit ribosomal RNA
Source: RNAcentral
AGAGCGAACGCUGGCGGCAGGCCUAACACAUGCAAGUCGAGCGCCCCGCAAGGGGAGCGGCAGACGGGAGAGUAACACGUGGGAACGUACCCUUCAGUUCGGAACAACCCAGGGAAACUUGGGCUAAUACCGAAUACGUCCGUAAGGAGAAAGAUUUAUCGCUGAAGGAUCGGCCCGCGUCUGAUUAGCUAGUUGGUGAGGUAAUGGCUCACCAAGGCGACGAUCGGUAGCUGGUCUGAGAGGAUGACCAGCCUCACUGGGACUGAGACACGGCCCAGACUCCUACGGGAGGCAGCAGUGGGGAAUAUUGGACAAUGGGCGCAAGCCUGAUCCAGCCAUGCCGCGUGGAUGAUGAAGGCCUUAGGGUUGUAAAGUCCUUUUAACGGGGAAGAUAAUGACGGUACCGUAGAAUAGGCCCCGGCUAACUUCGUGCCAGCAGCCGC